Mercurialis annua (annual mercury) is the source of this 3184-nucleotide RNA transcript. It is a transcript of the gene named putative F-box/kelch-repeat protein At1g15680, with no coding region annotated. NCBI's taxonomy places the organism in Eukaryota, Viridiplantae, Streptophyta, Magnoliopsida, Malpighiales, Euphorbiaceae. The record is from RefSeq and is a predicted model, not a curated record. The transcript has 10 exons.
GAGCAUUAUAGUGAAAUAAUUAUUUCUGUUAUACCAAAUUUAUUCUACAGCUUCUUUUUUCUGCAGUAGUUUAAUAUCAAAAUUGUUACAUAUAACAUAUUCCUUUGUGUUGCUUAUGAUAUGCCUUAGAUAGCACGGACACUUUAUUCAAUCAACGUGUUCCGUUUUGGAAACGUUUCAGACACGAAACUUCAUCUUUUACACAGAAAAUCUUAAAGUAACACCAUUUUACCGUGUCCAAUCCUAGUGUCCCGUGUCCGUGUCCGUGUCCGUGCUACCUAGGAUAUGCCUACUGAAGUAAUGGUGCCAUGAUUUGUGGGAAUUAUUUGGAAUCUUUGGAACAUGUUUGAGUUUGGGUACCUUAAACCUUUUGAGAAUUAUUUGGCCAAAAUAUGUACAAAACAAUUUACUUGUUUAUUGUAAUAACACGGGUGGGCAGGAGUGACUAUAUUUCUCACUAAAGCAAGGAAAUGAGAGCAACAUAAUUUAAUUUUGACCCAAUCUAACAGCCAGAUUCAAGAAAAUUGCUUGCUUGAUUUUAUACUAUAUAAUGAAUUAAAUCAUUUUCAUUAAAUAAAAUGAGUAAAUUAAUUCCCAAAGUCAAAAGCAUUCACAUCAUUUUAAAUAGAACUGCUAUUACUUGACUAUGCUUGCGCAGAGUUAGGUAUCUGAUCUUUUCUAAAUGCAACGUCAACUGGUAGAAGAAGUAAUUGAUCGACCAUGUCAAAACUAAAGCAAUUUUACUUACAAGCCUGGAUAUCAUGAAAUUUGAUGAUAGUGCUUACCACUUGUGUGCUCAUUUUCUGAGAUAGCAACUUUGUUCUGGUAAUAAAUUAACUUUUUCCCUUUAAAAACUAUAAGUUGUGUUCAAAUGGUCAUUUUAUUGUUCCUUUAUAGUUUUCUGACCUCAGUUAAGGAUAAAAUGAAUUAUUGUCAGCUUGGUUUUAGUAAAAACUAAUACUACUAGAGUUUUAGUGCUUGUCACAUUGCAACAGCUUUGAAAAGUAUUUGCUUAUUCAUAUUAUAUCAUUUCAGGCUAAGAAUCUGAGCACAAUUGGAAAACCUCAGAGAAGAGGAUACUGUAACUUAGAAAGUCAUUGGCUUUUAUCUUCAAAUGCUUUCCAUGUUAAAAUUGCUGCAUAUUCUACUCAUUCGUUCUGUUUUCCAGAAACACCCGAGCUCUGCUCAAGAUCAAAGUUACUUCAUAUACCAUGGAUUCAAUGGAAAAAACAUCUCAUAUUGCCAAGUUGGUCGCGCUUUCUUGCAAUUGUCUGCCCUAAUGUCUUAUUAGAGUUAUCAAACAUCUCAUAUUGCCAAGUUGGUCGCGCUUUCUUUCCUCUCCCAUUCAAGUUCAACAAGUCAUCAUCCGACAGUUCUCAAUCUCUUUCGACUUUCAUUUUCUACCAACUUUGUUUUCGCUAUUGAUCCUGAGAGACAUGCUCUUGGUGAGAAAUCUGGAUAUGGUGGCCAUGGUUUUAUCUUUAGUAUCUUGCCAUCUUUGGUUUUGAUUUUGGGGAUCCGGUGCAAUCCCUCUUUGCCUAGCAACUGCGACAAUUUGUUGAGGAUUAUCAUCUGAUCAAGUGUGCUGAAUUGUGGAUGAAACCGUGAAAGAGUUGGCUGGUUUAAGAGAGAAUGUUAUCUUCAUUGCUUUGGGCACACUGCUCCUCCCAUAUUAUUUGAAAACUGAAAUUCAUAUGCAGACCCAAUGGAGUUUACAAAUUUGCCAAGAUGGUAGGUCGCCUUUUGCAUCCACAACUUUGCAUGUCAGGGAAUAGUCGCCUUCUCAGAUCUUUUAGUCCUCAAUUUACUUAUAUCAAGUCUAGAGCUCUUUUGACAAUUGAUGAGAAAUUAUAAUCCAUUGAUCCAAUUAAUGAAAAGCCUACUUCAGCUGAAUUUGCAAUCUGCGCACAUCAACCGGAGAAGUGAAGGAAAAAAUUAUAGAGACACAAUCUUCUGUAUGUCCUUAUUAUCAUAGAAGGCUCGCAUUAGAGCACCUUGCUUUAAUGAGAUCUUCAAUUUCCGUCAUUAGUAUAAUGAGGCGAAGGUAGUUGACAUGGAAAUCGCAACUACACCAAUGCCAGAAAAUUCAGAAUAUAAUGAUUAAAUUUGAGGUGCUCAUUUUACUUGAAUUUAAAUGCACAUACUUAAUUCUAUAAACAAUAGCAACACUACACCAAAAGUUUGGUGCUCUGGUAGAUUCUUUGAAGGUAGUGUUUCCGUAUGUGCAUGUGUUAUUUACUUCAAUGGCUGGCGGUGAAUUAUAUCUUACCAACUUUUGUUUAAUGUUAUUCUGCGUUUCUAUUCCGGCCACACAUUUUUGUUCUGCUGAGGCGCUGUUUCCAUGACGGUGAUGACGAGAUGAGAACAAGAUCAAGGAACCAACUUAAUCUUCAUCUAAUAGCCUGCAAGCACCUUAGGAAAAUACCGUGCUUAAGGAUAUAAUUUACGGCGUGAAUUAUAUCCUUAAGCACACAGUAGGUGAUGGUGGAGUAGCAAAGUAAUAGAUGCAAUUGGAUAAUUUUGAAUGAGGAAGUUAAAUCUCGGCUGCUUGUAGAAAAGAAGGCCCCAGGCAAGAAGCCAACUGGUCUUGCUGCUCCUCCAUCUGGUCCACCAACUACUGUUGAUGCUUGUGAAAGUAUUUUUUCUUCUAUUCCAAACUCCAAGGAAGCAAUAGUAAGAAUGCAAGGGAAAUAAAAUAGUUUGACACAGGUGGAAAAUGCAAAAGAUUUAGCUAUGUUUUUGAGAUGUUUGUACUGUACUAACGGGAACUUCAGUUUCAGACCUGAAAACGAGGUUUCGGUCGAAAUGAGCAUGUCGACGCUCCAGUAAAAUGUUUAAAAGUUUUAGAAACUUGUUUUGGGAAUUUAGUGACUUUAUUUAGAAAGGUGGAUUUGAGUCAUAGCAUAGUUGGGAUCAGGAAAUCCUUUAAUAAUGGCAAUUCGUGGUUUUCCUGAUUUAUGUGUUUUUGCGUGUUUUGGUGUAAUCGAGUGUUUUCCUUGUGUGUGGUUUGUCUCGAUGAUUUUGUUUGUUAGAAUUCUAGAGUUAGAUGUGGUCGUUGUCGUAUCGUUUGUUAACUUAAUCGAUUUGUAUUAGACCCGCCUAUAUCGAGGGAGUCGGAGUCGAGGUAGAUCUCGAAGAGCGAUCUAGUGAUGGAGAUUGUACCGUGAUUACGCGGUUUUUAUGA